UACGGGGGGAGCAAGCGUUGUUCGGAUUUACUGGGCGUAAAGGGCGCGUAGGCGGCGUGACAAGUCACUUGUGAAAUCUCCGGGCUUAACUCGGAACGGUCAAGUGAUACUGUCGUGCUAGAGUACAGAAGGGGCAACUGGAAUUCUCGGUGUAGCGGUGAAAUGCGUAGAUAUCGAGAGGAACACCAGAGGUGAAGACGGGUUGCUGGGCCGACACUGACGCUGAGGCGCGAAAGCCAGGGGAGCAAACGGG
Molecule: ribosomal RNA, 253 nt
Filed under: uncultured bacterium
Lineage: Bacteria
Description: partial 16S ribosomal RNA
Rfam family: Bacterial small subunit ribosomal RNA
Source: RNAcentral